UUAAGUUAGAAAGGGCGCACGGUGGAUGCCUUGACACUAGGAGUCGAUGAAGGACGGGACUAACGCCGAUAUGCUUCGGGGAGCUGUAAGUAAGCUUUGAUCCGAAGAUUUCCGAAUGGGGAAACCCACCAUACGUAAUGGUAUGGUAUCCUUAUCUGAAUACAUAGGGUAAGGAAGACAGACCCAGGGAACUGAAACAUCUAAGUACCUGGAGGAAGAGAAAGCAAAUGCGAUUUCCUGAGUAGCGGCGAGCGAAACGGAACAUAGCCCAAACCAAGAGGCUUGCCUCUUGGGGUUGUAGGACAUUCUAUACGGAGUUACAAAGGAACGAGGUAGACGAAGCGACCUGGAAAGGUCCGUCGUAGAGGGUAACAACCCCGUAGUCGAAACUUCGUUCUCUCUUGAAUGUAUCCUGAGUACGGCGGAACACGUGAAAUUCCGUCGGAAUCUGGGAGGACCAUCUCCCAAGGCUAAAUACUCCCUAGUGAUCGAUAGUGAACCAGUACCGUGAGGGAAAGGUGAAAAGCACCCCGGAAGGGGAGUGAAAGAGAUCCUGAAACCGUGUGCCUACAAAUAGUCAGAGCCCGUUAACGGGUGAUGGCGUGCCUUUUGUAGAAUGAACCGGCGAGUUACGAUCCCGUGCGAGGUUAAGCUGAAGAGGCGGAGCCGCAGCGAAAGCGAGUCUGAAUAGGGCGUUUAGUACGUGGUCGUAGACCCGAAACCAGGUGAUCUACCCAUGUCCAGGGUGAAGUUCAGGUAACACUGAAUGGAGGCCCGAACCCACGCACGUUGAAAAGUGCGGGGAUGAGGUGUGGGUAGCGGAGAAAUUCCAAUCGAACCUGGAGAUAGCUGGUUCUCCCCGAAAUAGCUUUAGGGCUAGCCUUAAGUGUAAGAGUCUUGGAGGUAGAGCACUGAUUGGACUAGGGGUCCUCAUCGGAUUACCGAAUUCAGUCAAACUCCGAAUGCCAAUGACUUAUCCUUAGGAGUCAGACUGCGAGUGAUAAGAUCCGUAGUCAAAAGGGAAACAGCCCAGACCGCCAGCUAAGGUCCCAAAGUGUGUAUUAAGUGGAAAAGGAUGUGGAGUUGCUUAGACAACUAGGAUGUUGGCUUAGAAGCAGCCACCAUUUAAAGAGUGCGUAAUAGCUCACUAGUCGAGUGACUCUGCGCCGAAAAUGUACCGGGGCUAAAUACACCACCGAAGCUGCGGAUUGAUACCAAUGGUAUCAGUGGUAGGGGAGCGUUCUAAGGACAGUGAAGUCAGACCGGAAGGACUGGUGGAGUGCUUAGAAGUGAGAAUGCCGGUAUGAGUAGCGAAAGACGGGUGAGAAUCCCGUCCACCGAAUGCCUAAGGUUUCCUGAGGAAGGCUCGUCCGCUCAGGGUUAGUCAGGACCUAAGCCGAGGCCGACAGGCGUAGGCGAUGGACAACAGGUUGAUAUUCCUGUACCACCUCUUUAUCGUUUGAGCAAUGGAGGGACGCAGAAGGAUAGAAGAAGCGUGCGAUUGGUUGUGCACGUCCAAGCAGUUAGGCUGAUAAGUAGGCAAAUCCGCUUAUCGUGAAGGCUGAGCUGUGAUGGGGAAGCUCCUUAUGGAGCGAAGUCUUUGAUUCCCCGCUGCCAAGAAAAGCUUCUAGCGAGAUAAAAGGUGCCUGUACCGCAAACCGACACAGGUAGGCGAGGAGAGAAUCCUAAGGUGUGCGAGAGAACUCUGGUUAAGGAACUCGGCAAAAUGACCCCGUAACUUCGGGAGAAGGGGUGCUUUCUUAACGGAAAGCCGCAGUGAAUAGGCCCAAGCGACUGUUUAGCAAAAACACAGCUCUCUGCGAAGCCGUAAGGCGAAGUAUAGGGGGUGACACCUGCCCGGUGCUGGAAGGUUAAGGAGAGGGGUUAGCGUAAGCGAAGCUCUGAACUGAAGCCCCAGUAAACGGCGGCCGUAACUAUAACGGUCCUAAGGUAGCGAAAUUCCUUGUCGGGUAAGUUCCGACCCGCACGAAAGGUGUAACGAUUUGGGCACUGUCUCAACCAGAGACUCGGUGAAAUUAUAGUACCUGUGAAGAUGCAGGUUACCCGCGACAGGACGGAAAGACCCCGUGGAGCUUUACUGUAGCCUGAUAUUGAAUUUUGGUACAGUUUGUACAGGAUAGGCGGGAGCCUUUGAAACCGGAGCGCUAGCUUCGGUGGAGGCGCUGGUGGGAUACCGCCCUGACUGUAUUGAAAUUCUAACCUACGGGUCUUAUCGACCCGGGAGACAGUGUCAGGUGGGCAGUUUGACUGGGGCGGUCGCCUCCUAAAGUGUAACGGAGGCGCCCAAAGGUUCCCUCAGAAUGGUUGGAAAUCAUUCGUAGAGUGCAAAGGCAUAAGGGAGCUUGACUGCGAGACCUACAAGUCGAGCAGGGACGAAAGUCGGGCUUAGUGAUCCGGUGGUUCCGCAUGGAAGGGCCAUCGCUCAACGGAUAAAAGCUACCCCGGGGAUAACAGGCUUAUCUCCCCCAAGAGUCCACAUCGACGGGGAGGUUUGGCACCUCGAUGUCGGCUCAUCGCAUCCUGGGGCUGUAGUCGGUCCCCAAGGGUUGGGCUGUUCGCCCAUUAAAGCGGUACGCGAGCUGGGUUCAGAACGUCGUGAGACAGUUCGGUCCCUAUCCGUCGUGGGGCGUAGGAAAUUUGAGAGGAGCUGUCCUUAGUACGAGAGGACCGGGAUGGACGCACCGCUGGUGUACCAGUUGUUCUGCCAAGGGCAUAGCUGGGUAGCUAUGUGCGGAAGGGAUAAGUGCUGAAAGCAUCUAAGCAUGAAGCCCCCCUCAAGAUGAGAUUUCCCAUAGCGUAAGCUAGUAAGAUCCCUGAAAGAUGAUCAGGUUGAUAGGUUCGAGGUGGAAGCAUGGUGACAUGUGGAGCUGACGAAUACUAAUAGAUCGAGGACUUAACCAU
RNAcentral lists this ribosomal RNA (2922 nucleotides) under Bacillus anthracis (anthrax bacterium). RNAcentral describes it as "bacterial LSU rRNA". It matches the Rfam family "Bacterial large subunit ribosomal RNA". Lineage: Bacteria; Bacillati; Bacillota; Bacilli; Caryophanales; Bacillaceae. The record is from RNAcentral.